CCUGCUCUUAGAAGCACUGCAGAUGCAGCUUCUGUGUCCCACGUGCAUUAGUAGAUGGCAGAGAGGAAAAAGGCUAUGUAUAUGGCCAGUCUUCUAACCUAUGACCAUAUGGAUGGUUAGUUACCUAACAGU
Small nucleolar RNA from Acomys russatus (golden spiny mouse), 132 nucleotides. RefSeq annotates it as small nucleolar RNA SNORA17. The record is from RefSeq and is a predicted model, not a curated record. NCBI's taxonomy places the organism in Eukaryota, Metazoa, Chordata, Mammalia, Rodentia, Muridae. The transcript has a single exon.